GAUGAACGCUGGCGGCGUGCCUAAUACAUGCAAGUCGAGCGAACAGACGAGGAGCUUGCUCCUUCGACGUUAGCGGCGGACGGGUGAGUAACACGUAGGUAACCUACCUAUAAGACUGGGAUAACUUCGGGAAACCGGAGCUAAUACCGGAUAAUAUUUCGAACCGCAUGGUUCGAUAGUGAAAGAUGGCUUUGCUAUCACUUAUAGAUGGACCUGCGCCGUAUUAGCUAGUUGGUAAGGUAACGGCUUACCAAGGCAACGAUACGUAGCCGACCGGAGAGGGGGAUAGGCCACACUGGAACUGAGACACGGUCCAGACGCCUAAGGGAGGCAGCAGUAGGGAAUCUUCCGCAAAGGGCGAAAGCCUGACGGAGCAACGCCGCGUGAGUGAUGAAGGUCUUCGGAGCGUAAAACUCUGUUAUUAGGGAAGAACAAACGUGUAAGUAACUGUGCACGUCGUGACGGUACCUAAUCAGAAAGCCACGGCUAACUACGUG
RNAcentral lists this ribosomal RNA (497 nucleotides) under uncultured bacterium. Its description in RNAcentral is "partial 16S ribosomal RNA". It matches the Rfam family "Bacterial small subunit ribosomal RNA", at positions 28 to 507 of the family's 1533-position model. The record is from RNAcentral.